This 1561-nucleotide long non-coding RNA is filed under the name Mytilus galloprovincialis (Mediterranean mussel). The record is from RNAcentral. Lineage: Eukaryota; Metazoa; Mollusca; Bivalvia; Mytilida; Mytilidae.
GUUAAUACUUUUAUAGAGACUUUUAAAGAGUUUUUGAGACAUUUGAAGUCUAAAAAUGUAAAGAAGGUGGUUAUAGUUCAAUUGUUUCAUAGGUUGAAAACUAGAGUUUCAAGGUCUGUAUAUGCAGGCAGAAGAGCCCAGAUUAAUCUGGAACUUGUAAAUUUGACAAAAAGGGAGUUUAAAGGUUUUCUAGUGUACUGGACACCAAAGAGGUUGACAUCAAAAUUUCUAUUGACAACAGAUGGUGUCCAUUUGAAUAAAACCAAAAUGAGGACUUAUUAUUAUUCCUUAAAGAGGGCUGUUAAGCUUUCUCUUAGAAAAUAAAAAUCAAUAAUGCCAUUUGUUUGUCACUUAUUAUAGAUAUAUACAUUUUAAUGUGGAGUGGUUGGUGGUGGCUGAGAUAUAUUUUUUCGUAAUAAUGUGGAGUAAAUAUAUUUUUCAGCUUGUAUAAUUAUUUGUAUAUUUCAGGAGGGGAGAUGUUUUAAUCUUAAUUGAAAAUUUUGAUUUCUUGCACCCGAGACCACCAGCUUUGCAUAGCAGCGCGCGUUAACUAGCACAUGGAUUUUGCCAGAUAUGCGGACAUAUCUGUUCUGUGGGAAAGGGGGUAAUGUAACGUUUGUGGGUCACUUUAUUUGGUUCAUUUAUUUAUUUCAUUAUUACUAUUUUUAAUUAUUUUUCCAGAAAGAUUGCUUUUUAUUAUUUUAUUACUUUCCGAUUUUUAUUUCAUUCAUUAAAUUUUAGUGACGUAACGAACCUCGCAUUAGCAUUAAAAAUGUUUUCCCUUCUCAACCAAUCAGAGAGCUCGAUUGAAUUCCCGGGGAAAAUUUAGCUCGUGCAGAUAUUGUCUGCUAGAAAUCAUUCUCAGCCCAGACUUCCAGGUGUAUAGAUGUAAGGUAAAAAGGGGAAUUUUCAACCAUGUGCGCGAUAUUUUUGGAAGUGGUCUCGGUAGGAAUCACGCGCUAUUUUAUAUACUAUAAUUAGUGUAUUGAAGAAAAUGUGUUUUACAGUAUUUUUUUAGGUAAGAAGUUCCCCUCCUAUGAUUUUCAUGUACAUAUUUUGAGUGACUAAAACUGGCUGGUUUUUGAUCACGGUUUGCAUUGGAGAUUUAGCGGAAAACUUUGAAUAUUUACGUGUUGAGGCGUGAAUUAUUUAGAAAGCGGUUCGCUGGUUAAAUUAUGAGUUGAGUUUUUGAAAAGUUCUUUGAACUGAAUAAAAGUUGUCAGUUGGCGAAUAACGAGAUUCGGUUAACUGUUCAGCUGUUCAGUUGUUAAGGUUAAAGUUAUUUAUAACUUGCGGGUUAAAGCAAGUAAAAGUUCGGAGUCAUUAUUUGUUGGCAUUCACGUGAGUGACUCAAAUCUAUGACUUGAACUUAAGGACGGUAAAUUUAAGUAUUAAAGUGUUAACAAGCGAAAUCCAUAUGCAAGCCCUGAUCAGAACGGCAGAGUGAGUCGUUAAAGAAAGUUAGAUACUGAAAGAAUUUAUUUUCUUGGUCUAAGAAAUCUUGUUAUAGACUGCAGAAAUAGACCAUUGACUCGCAAAACUGUAACUUAUUAAAUGUGCA